Molecule: ribosomal RNA, 551 nt
Filed under: uncultured bacterium
Lineage: Bacteria
Description: bacterial SSU rRNA
Rfam family: Bacterial small subunit ribosomal RNA
Source: RNAcentral
UAGGGAAUCUUCUNGCAAUGGACGGAAGUCUGACCGAGCAACGCCGCGUGAGUGAAGAAGGUUUUCGGAUCGUAAAGCUCUGUUGUAAGAGAAGAACGAGUGUGAGAGUGGAAAGUUCACACUGUGACGGUAUCUUACCAGAAAGGGACGGCUAACUACGUGCCAGCAGCCGCGGUAAUACGUAGGUCCCGAGCGUUGUCCGGAUUUAUUGGGCGUAAAGCGAGCGCAGGCGGUUAGAUAAGUCUGAAGUUAAAGGCUGUGGCUUAACCAUAGUAGGCUUUGGAAACUGUUUAACUUGAGUGCAAGAGGGGAGAGUGGAAUUCCAUGUGUAGCGGUGAAAUGCGUAGAUAUAUGGAGGAACACCGGUGGCGAAAGCGGCUCUCUGGCUUGUAACUGACGCUGAGGCUCGAAAGCGUGGGGAGCAAACAGGAUUAGAUACCCUGGUAGUCCACGCUGUAAACGAUGAGUGCUAGGUGUUAGACCCUUUCCGGGGUUUAGUGCCGUAGCUAACGCAUUAAGCACUCCGCCUGGGGAGUACGACCGCAAGGUUG